GAUGAACGCUGGCGGCGUGCUUAACACAUGCAAGUCGAACGAGAAUCAACGGAUUGAGGAUUCGUCCAAAUGAAGUUGAGGAAAGUGGCGGACGGGUGAGUAACGCGUGAGGAACCUGCCUCGGAGUGGGGAAUAACAGUUGGAAACAGCUGCUAAUACCGCAUAAUGCAACGGAAUCGCAUGACUCUGUUGCCAAAGAUUUAUCGCUCUGAGAUGGCCUCGCGUCUGAUUAGCUAGUAGGCGGGGUAACGGCCCACCUAGGCGACGAUCAGUAGCCGGACUGAGAGGUCGACCGGCCACAUUGGGACUGAGACACGGCCCAGG
RNAcentral lists this ribosomal RNA (324 nucleotides) under uncultured bacterium. Its description in RNAcentral is "bacterial SSU rRNA". It matches the Rfam family "Bacterial small subunit ribosomal RNA", at positions 28 to 335 of the family's 1533-position model. The record is from RNAcentral.